UACGAAGGGGGGCUAGCGUUGCUCGGAAUCACUGGGCGUAAAGGGUGCGUAGGCGGGUCUUUAAGGUCAGGGGUGAAAUCCUGGAGCUCAACUCCAGAACUGCCUUUGAUACUGAAGAUCUUGAGUUCGGGAGAGGUGAGUGGAACUGCGAGUGUAGAGGUGAAAUUCGUAGAUAUUCGCAAGAACACCAGUGGCGAAGGCGGCUCACUGGCCCGAUACUGACGCUGAGGCACGAAAGCGUGGGGAGCAAACAGG
This 255-nucleotide ribosomal RNA is filed under the name uncultured bacterium. RNAcentral's name for it is "partial 16S ribosomal RNA". It matches the Rfam family "Bacterial small subunit ribosomal RNA", at positions 524 to 776 of the family's 1533-position model. The record is from RNAcentral.